AGUGAACGCUGGCGGUAGGCCUAACACAUGCAAGUCGAACGGCAGCACGGUAAGAGCUUGCUCUUACGGGUGGCGAGUGGCGGACGGGUGAGGUAUACAUCGGAAUCUACUUUUUCGUGGGGGAUAACGUAGGGAAACUUACGCUAAUACCGCAUACGACCUACGGGUGAAAGCAGGGGAUCUUCGGACCUUGCGCGAUUGAAUGAGCCGAUGUCGGAUUAGCUAGUUGGCGGGGUAAAGGCCCACCAAGGCGACGAUCCGUAGCUGGUCUGAGAGGAUGAUCAGCCACACUGGAACUGAGACACGGUCCAGACUCCUACGGGAGGCAGCAGUGGGGAAUAUUGGACAAUGGGCGCAAGCCUGAUCCAGCCAUACCGCGUGGGUGAAGAAGGCCUUCGGGUUGUAAAGCCCUUUUGUUGGGAAAGAAAAGCAGCAGGUUAAUACCCCGCUGUUCUGACGGUACCCAAAGAAUAAGCACCGGCUAACUUCGUG
This 492-nucleotide ribosomal RNA is filed under the name uncultured bacterium. RNAcentral's name for it is "partial 16S ribosomal RNA". It matches the Rfam family "Bacterial small subunit ribosomal RNA", at positions 29 to 507 of the family's 1533-position model. The record is from RNAcentral.